ACUAGGGGGGCUUCGGGGAGAGCAGCCCUGGUGGUCUGCGUCUGUGCAGGUCCCUGCUGGGGAGCUUGACUUCCCGCGUGGCAUCCCGCGGCGCUGAUGCCGGGGGCCGGGCGGUAUUCACCGCCGAAGAGCCCCGGAGGAGGCCCCGGGCACAGGAGCCAGCUCGGCUCACGGUGGGGUCUGCUGGGAGGCGGCUGGGUGCUCUUUUUCUAUGCAGACGGGAAACUUUUUGAAAAGUGACUACAAUUCAUUUGUGAGUGGGCAGAAGUCCUGUGGACUCUGGCUGGGUCUGGGGUGACUCUCCUGCCCUUUGGGACUCCCAGCUUUCCCCUUGACCCCCAGACCCCGUCCAGAUGAAUGCCUCACAGGUCGUGGGGGCUUGAGCCAGGCUGCGGGAGUGUCCCAGGCUCUGAGAGCUCGUGUGCCAGGGAGCUGGGGACGUUGAGGAGGGCUUUUCCCUGGACUCCGGGGACGGUUAUUGCGGAGGUCUUGGGAGGGCACAGAUGAGCGGCGGAACCCAGGUGGCCCCGAAGUUGAAGCUCAGGCUGCGGUGUCGGGUGCCCUUUUUGUAUCCUUGGCUACGUGAAAAUGAUAAAUCACAGCAGCUACGUGGAAAUGGGACAUCAGCUUCUGCUUCUGUCUGCCAUUUGCUCCUUCCUUUGUAGAGGGGAUGCCUCCAGAGCCUUAAGCACAACCCCCACCCCCUGCCCCCACCCACCCCCACGUGAAACUCCAACCCAGCCAUGCCCGGCUGCAGACCCACUGCCACACAGCCACAGCAUGCUCAGUGGCCUCUGCACACUGCAGGCUCUGCGGAGACAUUGCCCUGCCCUGGGUGGUAAGAGAGAACCAACUCGCUCCGGGCUGUCCCCUCACACGGACGGGCUGCCUGGAGGAGCAACAGAGUCAUGUUGGACCUCUCUUCCUGAUGAGGACAACGGGAGGUCCUUUCAUGUCCCGGGGCUGCUGUCCCACCCCACACCAGGGUCAGUGGCAGGACAGGGGCCAGGGCCCAGCUGGACCCUGCCGCUUAGCAAGCCCCCUGUGUCUGUGCCCGGCCUGCACCCCCAACUGGCGCCUCCCUGGCCCCCGUCCCCCCCAGGCACCUGCAAAGCCUUCUUUCCACCUCUCACCACCGCACGUGCCAGGCUCGCCCUGGGCCACUGCGAGGCCUCAAAACCCUGCAGGCCGCCGCCUCCUCCUCCUCCUCCUCCUCCUCCUCCUCUCCCCACUCCCAGCAGGUUCGGGGCGGCUUCCCUUCCUGCUGGUGAGGGCCUAACCUUGAGGUCCCAUUGGUCUCCUUCUGGCUCUUUCUCCACAUUUUUCAGAGUCUGGCUUCACGGCUGGUCAUAGAAGUUGGCAGGGAAGGAGGCAGCCUCUGCUUCCCACUCAGAGACAUUUUUAAACGCAAUGAAAAACAUAUCGAUACAAUUAAGUAUUCCAAAGUGCUUAGUUUGCCACUCGCUAAGUUUACUUAAACCCUCUUUAACAGGCUCAUUAGGAGCUGGUGAGCACCGGGAAAUUCAUUAACAGGAAGGCGGCCCCCUGCAUUUGACUGUAAAUUGGUAUUGAUCAGGGGCUGGUGGAGGCUGGGCGGCCGGCCACAAAGAGCCAGGUGUGGGACCAGCCUCCCGGGGGUGCCACGGCAGUGGCGCUGGGCAGGUGACGGUGGCUGCUGACCCCCGGUGCCCGUGUAAGCUGCUGGCUCUGCGCAGCUGCCGCUUCAGGUGGGCCGCACUGCGCGGCGGUUCAGGGUGGUGACGCUGCGAGGCGGGGACGGGGGAGAGGGUGAAGAAGAGCGAGAGAAGGAGGGAGAGAACCGGGGGAGCGACGCUUCCUCGCCCACUGGGUGUCUGCUGUGGCCAGGCUGAGGCACCUAGGGAGUUGCCCCCCUAGUGGACGGCCUCUCAGGAGAUCCUGGCCACCCUCUGGGAACCUGGAAUCCUCCAAGCAUCGUCUUUCUCGCCUGCAUCUUCGGAGAGAGGUGCUGAGCCCUCCCUCAUGGACACGGGGUCCCGGGAGGCAGCCUUCACCAGGGACCUGCCCAGGAAACCAGCAGAUGCCCAGGACCAGGUCGUUUGGCCUGGGGUGUGUCAUGCAUCAGGAUUGCUGGUGGCGCCCUCUUGGUGCAGUUCUGCCUGUUCCUCUGUCCUCUGAGCUUCCUGUGUGCUGGUGGCUGGACCCGGAGACUCCUCCCACUCAGGCUGCAUCCCUGCAGCAGGAACCCAGGUUCUGUUGUGUCCCCCCAUCAGGAGGACACAGGUCAGGGCUGUGCACUUCUGGAAUGGUGGCCAGGCUUGCUGUGUGCCUCAAGCCACUAAUCCAUCAAGGUUGCAAGACAGUGAUGUCCUGAGUCUGGAAGUUCUUUUUCACUUAUUUGUUGGGAUACCUUUAUGGAAACUCUUCUCCUCCACGCAGUCUCAUCCCCAGUGCCACUGUCCAGAGGAAGCAGGAUAAAGGCACAAAUCUUCUCCUGCAGCUGCCGCUUUUCAGGAAAAUGCACCGGGUCCCCGAAGCCCUCCUGAGGGUUGGCUUGCUCGAUACCACUGUGCGCGCAGGCCCCUUUCCAGCGGGAACUGUGGACAGCAUCGAAGGGAAGACAAGGUUCCUGCUGCACCAGAAGCCCCUUAUGGAGCAGUGAAGGAUUUCACAGAACUAAAGAUCAGGUGCCUGAGACAGGAGUUUUUAACAAAAAGAUGCUUUGAAAGCCAAGGGGGAGGCUGAGUUAUGAGAAAGCUUUGCACGACCGCAAGGAAUACAGAGCCCAGAGCUGGGAUCCGAGUCACUGCGGCACUAGGACAGAGGCACCUCGUCGUACGCACCUGGGAGCCCAGACUGGCCCGGCCAUUGGCAGCAAGGGGUCCCCGGUGUGGGCUUGCAGCUUGUUCACCUUUACUGUGUCUUCAGGGGCACAUCUGUCCAUCUCAGCGAGGCUUCAGUGAACGUGCGGAGGACGUGGAAGCAGACACCGCACUGUGUCGGGGGCCUGAACACGAAGUCGGUAGAGGAGCAGGUCUCCAGGCACGGCUCCGGCAACACCAACGGGAAGCGGGCCACCUUGGAGAGCGCUCUUCCACUGCUGGAGUUCCUGGUCAAUACGGCAUCGUCUGCGUGGAGGGUCUGAUUCGUGAGAUCUACGCUGCUGGAAAACACUUCAAAGAAGCAGACUACCUCCUGUGGGCUGAAGUUCUCUUCUCCACCAGGUGAAAUGAAGAAAAAGCCCACUCGUUUUGUAGAAGGUGGGGGUGCUGGCAGCCAGGAAGACCAGACCAGCAGGCUUUCUAGCAGAAUGAACUCAGGUCUACAUCAUUAUUUUUGUAAUCUGGUAAGUUAAUAAAUGGUGACUGCCUUUGAAUUUAAAAGAAAUAUGUAUCAUUAUGGAUUCAUGAACCGAAACGUGUUUGGUAGGUCUCAGUCCACUGCAAUUAUUAUCGUCUUUGCAGCUCAGAUCGUCCUGUCUCUGGCCAGCGGUGUCUCACUGGGUGGACCCCACGUCCUGCAUGCUCUCUCAGGGUCAGCUUGGUUGUCAUAUAAUUUACAUACAAAAAAAAUGCACAGAUUUUAAGUGUGAAGUUUGUAGAGUUUUAACAAAUGUUGACUUUUACACUCAUGCAACCACCAUCACAACCAAGAUCUGGAAGAUUCCAUCAGUUCAAAAACUUCCCUCAUAUACCUUGGCAGUCAUCCCCCUCCUCUGGCCCAGCAAUCAUGGACUAGCCAGCAUGGAUCAGAUCUGUUUCAGCUGGAACUUUCUAAAUGGAAUCAUGCAGUGUGUGGGCUGUGUGCCUGGCCUCUUUCAACAUCAUUUUAAGACUCUUCUGUGCUGUUGUGUGUUUCCAUAGGUUUUGUUCCUUUUCUUUGUUGAGAAGGGCUCCAUUCUAUGACGACACCAUUGGCCUGCUGAUGGGCAUUCGAGAGUCUCAGCCUCCACAGGGUGCAGAGGGCAGAGGCAGGGCUGCAGGAGCCACAUGGGGCUGGUUGCUGUCACUCCUGCCAUGCUGGGUUGGCUGGGGAUAGAAACUCAACUCAGAAGAUGAAUCAACUUGCUUAUGUGGCCAAGAGGUCUGAAAAUAGGGCUGGAUCCAGAACCCAAACCAUGUCAUCAGAAAUCUUUCUCCAUAGCUCAGCUCCACUUUCCUUGGGGCUAGCUUCACUCCUAGCAGGCUGUCUGCAGGCGGAGCAAAAUGGACACUGAGAUUUCAGGCUUAUAUAUCUAAUCGGUGGGACAGAGAGGGAGGAGAGAGGGAGAGAGAGAGAGAGAGAUGGAGGGGGUGAGAAAGAUGCAGAGAGAGACAGAGAGAAAGAGACAGAGAGUAAGAGACGCACAGACAGAAAGAGACAGAGUGAGAGAAAGAGACAGAGAGGAGGGAAAGAGACAAAGAGAAAGAGAGAGACAGAGGGAAAAAGACACCAAAAGAGCAAGCACGAGAGAGAUUCCUUUCAAGAAACCCAGCAAAGGUCCCAAGAUGGGCACUCGCUGGCCAGGCUUGGGUCACUUGACCACUUGGGCUGGGAGGAAGCCAUUCCCUAGAACUACCCAGGCUCCCGGAUUGAAACCAGGGACCCGAUAAUGAAAGGAGGAGGGACGCUGGGCAGGCAGAGUGAGGCCACCCUGCACCGUUGCCUCCACAGUGUGCUGAUGCCAGGCCCCGCGUGAGCGUCUGGCACCCACCGUGCACUGCCCUCCCACCUGGUGGGCCGACUCCCGCAGCCCCGCCGUCUCGAUACAGUGGUGGGUGGGUGGUGAGCUGCUUUCCUGUGCUCUGACCUUACUUUAUUUCUAAGAGUGAAAACAGAAAGACGUGAGUGCCAACGCCAGCGACAGAAAGCAGGCUCUGUGAACAGCGCAGAGGCAAGGCUGGCACUGCCCAAGCUGCCCGGGGGACAGGCACGUCAGGCAGGUAUGGCGCUGUGGACUGCAGACUGGGACGUUUGGGGCCACUUUCCUAUAGAGGGUGUAUCUUUAUAGCAGCUGUAAUACACGUUUCCUCAUUGGAGGAGAAGACACGCUGGGUGACCAUCUGUGUGUCAAUGUACACAGUCAAUUUUAUACAUUUUCCAGGAUUGCAUUGUGGACACAGUGAAAGAGACCCCUGGGAGAAAUGCUGCGUUCAGUGGAGACUGAACCCAGCAGGUGGACGCAGCAGUGAGUAAAUCAUCUGCAUCUUUUGGACGUGAGGCUGCACGUGGCACUCUGUGGAUAAUGCAUGCACAUCUACUCAUCGCUUCUUUUUUGCAAAGUGUGCCUGUCACCCAUAAAUCCAUCACAUCCACGGCCAAAGGCUCCUUCAGAACGAGCCGAAUUGCAGUUUCAGGUGUGGGGUCUUCUCUCACAGUCUCUCUUGCACACACACUGGCUUGUGCACGCAGGGACCUCCUGACCGGGCCCGGGGCGGUUGUGGAUGUGUAGGGUCUUUCAGGAGAGCAAAGCUGACUUGAGGACAGACAGCAAAGCUGACUUGAGGACAGACAGCAAAGCUGACUUGAGGACAGACAGCAAAGCUGACUUGAGGACAGACUAGCAGCAAAGCUGACUUGAGGACAGACUAGCAGCAAAGCUGACUUGAGGACAGACAGCAAAGCUGACUUGAGGACAGACAGCAAAGCCCCGCAGCCCCUCGGAGAGUUCUUUUCAUUCCCGGAACCAAGAGUGGGAGGAAAUGGCCCCUAGGAAGUGUCUUAUUUUCUCAUUUGUUAGACGCCGCUGUCAGCCUGGGAGAGCAGGCACUCUCUGUUGUGAAUCAGCCCAGUUGGAUGAGCUCAUGCUGUGAGGGCUGCAGCCCGCCGCCCCUGCACCCACUCCAUUAGCUGUAGGGAGGUGAGCUCCGCGAGGGGCGGGCCGGGGCGCCACAUCAGAUCACUCCCCUUCACGGAACCCAGUCUAAGUGUGGGAUGGCCCUGUCAUGGCUCACACCAAAUAAAACUGAGUCCAGGACAGCGCUGUGAGCCCCCACCACACCCUUAGCUGGAGGCCACAGGUGGCGGGGCUCAGGUCCGAAGCCCUUCAGCAAAGUCCUGGUGUGGGGCCUUGGAGAAGCCACCAAUGUCUCAAGCCUGCUCUCACUUCCUCAUGGGAGGGUCAGGUGGGGCCAUGCAGUUGAAAGACAUCAACAUUCGCCACCCGCACAAGCAGCCUGGGCAGAGGCUGGCUGCAGGCCCCUAGUCCCCACCUCUGCUCCUUCCCCCAGCCUGGCCUGGGUAGUUGUGGGGUGGGGAGUCUGAGGCAGGGGGUGCUGGAGGAGGCCGUGCCCUUGAGAUGCUGGGAGAG
Pan troglodytes (chimpanzee) is the source of this 6268-nucleotide long non-coding RNA. RefSeq lists it as uncharacterized. Lineage: Eukaryota; Metazoa; Chordata; Mammalia; Primates; Hominidae. The record is from RefSeq and is a predicted model, not a curated record. The transcript has 3 exons.